GCCUCGGGGAAGGAGCCGGGCUCGCUCCGCAGCUGGCAGCUCCCAGGCGGGCCCAGGGGCGGCCCGCAGCGCCGCGCCAGGUAAAAGCGGGAAGACCUUUGGAAGACCUCAUUGGGAUGAUCCCAGCAGGAACCACCCACCCGUCUCGAUGGCCACCUGUUGAGAGAUCCACCCGACUCUAUGAAAUCUUUGCAUAUUUAAGUCCCACUUCUCUGAGCAAGACUACUACUUUGUGUUUAAAGGUACAUCUUAAGGAUCAGGUGGCUAAUGUUCGAAGUAUUGGAGAUCGAUUUAACAAGUCUCGUCUGGACGCGUUGAAUCGAUCAGCUAAUCGACGCCCGUACUCCACCUUGGCAGGAGAAGUAAGCGGAGCUGACAAGCGAGCUGCGGCAGUCGACUUGCUGCCGUGAGGACGGCCGCGUAAGUCGAACUAAGAUACUUUGACUUGAGCUACGCAAAUAGCGAAGCUGAAGUUGCAUAUCUUAGUUCGAACCCCAGAGCUAGUGUAGCCCAGGCCUGAGACUCAGCCUGCACAGAAGAUAUUUGCACCAUAGGUCUGUACACUCAGAAUGCAGUUUUGCAAGAUUUGCAUCUUAUAAUAUGAGAAGUGACAAAGAACAUGAUCUCCCCGCAGUUAUUGCCAUCUUCCUUGUUAGCCUACAGUAACCUUGUCCAACUGCAAAACCAUAAAUGUAAGAAAUUAUUCUACAUUUUUGAAGUAAAACUGCUAUAAUUCUGUCUGAAAACGCAAUCAAGCUUCAACACACUGUACAUGCAUAUUCUGAUCUUUGUGUUGAUGAAAUAAAUACUAUUUACUCUCAGAUCUCCAGGGUUGCCAUGAAUGGUAUAGUUGUAGUAAUAUCUGAAUGAAAGGCCUUCAUUACAAACAAAACAUACAGAAUAUAACUAUGUUCUUUUCAGCUCUGUGCGUUGUUCCUCUCACCUAAAAUUUCUAAUCCAAUAAUUUUCAGCCUUUCCUGUUGAACAUUUUUAGAGUGUACUGCUCUGGAUUAAGUCAUGCAUAUGUUACCUUUGACACAUUACAACACUAAAAACACUAAAAAUCAACGCAAUUUUUCACAUCACAGACUCUUAUGUGCGAUUUACAGUUAUGUAAUUGUAAUAUUACAAUCUCUAAAGAGGGAUCUGAUUCCCAAUUUCCCCUGGAAGUGUGCUGCUCUUACUCCCCAAACACAUCUGAUAAAAUACAUUAAUUCAACUGACUGCAUAAAUUUCAGGGUUUUUUAAUUCAAUCUUUAAAUUACCAUAAACUGCCAGCAUCACCUUAGCUCUAAAUUGUUAAUAUGCUUGUUUUGAAGAACUUGCAGAUUAAUUUUUUUCUUAUUCCCUUAGGGGAAAUGAGAAAGAUCUCUUCAAUUACUAAAAGGUGAGCACUAAACUUCAAACACAUCAAAUUAUUUGCGAAUGAGUGAAGUGACAACUCAAACAUGUUUCAUAUUUGAUGGUGUUUUUAGCCUGUAAGAAAUUUGAUUUACAGCAGUGAAAAA
Gopherus evgoodei (Goodes thornscrub tortoise) is the source of this 1508-nucleotide long non-coding RNA. RefSeq lists it as uncharacterized. The record is from RefSeq and is a predicted model, not a curated record. Lineage: Eukaryota; Metazoa; Chordata; Testudines; Testudinidae. The transcript is spliced from 3 exons.